AGUGAACGCUGGCGGUAGGCCUAACACAUGCAAGUCGAACGGCAGCACAGUAAGAGCUUGCUCUUACGGGUGGCGAGUGGCGGACGGGUGAGGAAUACAUCGGAAUCUACUUUUUCAUGGGGGAUAACGUAGGGAAACUUACGCUAAUACCGCAUACGACCUACGGGUGGAAGCAGGGGAUCUUCGGACCUUGCGCGAUUGAAUGAGCCGAUGUCGGAUUAGCUAGUUGGCGGGGUAAAGGCCCACCAAGGCGACGAUCCGUAGCUGGUCUGAGAGGAUGAUCAGCCACACUGGAACUGAGACACGGUCCAGACUCCUACGGGAGGCAGCAGUGGGGAAUAUUGGACAAUGGGCGCAAGCCUGAUCCAGCCAUACCGCGUGGGUGAAGAAGGCCUUCGGGUUGUAAAGCCCUUUUGUUGGGAAAGAAAAGCAGCAGGUUAAUACCCCGCUGUUCUGACGGUACCCAAAGAAUAAGCACCGGCUAACUUCGUG
This 492-nucleotide ribosomal RNA is filed under the name uncultured bacterium. RNAcentral's name for it is "partial 16S ribosomal RNA". It matches the Rfam family "Bacterial small subunit ribosomal RNA", at positions 29 to 507 of the family's 1533-position model. The record is from RNAcentral.